Molecule: transfer RNA, 77 nt
Filed under: Saprospiraceae bacterium
Lineage: Bacteria; Pseudomonadati; Bacteroidota; Saprospiria; Saprospirales; Saprospiraceae
Description: tRNA-Arg
Rfam family: tRNA
About the family: Transfer RNA (tRNA) molecules are approximately 80 nucleotides in length. Their secondary structure includes four short double-helical elements and three loops (D, anti-codon, and T loops). Further hydrogen bonds mediate the characteristic L-shaped molecular structure. tRNAs have two regions of fundamental functional importance: the anti-codon, which is responsible for specific mRNA codon recognition, and the 3' end, to which the tRNAs corresponding amino acid is attached (by aminoacyl-tRNA synthetases). tRNAs cope with the degeneracy of the genetic code in two manners: having more than one tRNA (with a specific anti-codon) for a particular amino acid; and 'wobble' base-pairing, i.e. permitting non-standard base-pairing at the 3rd anti-codon position.
Source: RNAcentral
GGCUCCGUAGCUCAACUGGAUAGAGUACCUGACUACGGAUCAGGAGGUUGCAGGUUCGAACCCUGCCGGGGUCACAA